Non-coding RNA from Sesamum indicum (sesame), 120 nucleotides. NCBI's taxonomy places the organism in Eukaryota, Viridiplantae, Streptophyta, Magnoliopsida, Lamiales, Pedaliaceae. The record is from RefSeq and is a predicted model, not a curated record.
AGUUGCUUCUCCAAGCUUCCAUCCAGAUGUUUAUUUCCCAGGUUGCAAUAGGAGCAAUCUUGGUAACCCACCUGAAGGCGACAGGGUCAUUGGACAAGGUGUUGGCAGCUGUGGUGGUGG